This 494-nucleotide ribosomal RNA is filed under the name uncultured bacterium. Its description in RNAcentral is "partial 16S ribosomal RNA". It matches the Rfam family "Bacterial small subunit ribosomal RNA", at positions 28 to 507 of the family's 1533-position model. The record is from RNAcentral.
GACGAACGCUGGCGGCGUGCUUAACACAUGCAAGUCGAACGGUGAAGCGCCUUCCUUUUUGGUGGGUGUGGAUGAGUGGCGAACGGGUGAGUAACACGUGAGUAACCUGCCCCCUUCUUCUGGAUAACCGCAUGAAAGUGUGGCUAAUACGGGAUAUUCUGGGUCUGUCGCAUGAUGGGUCUGGGAAAGAUAUUGUUUCGGUGGGGGAUGGGCUCGCGGCCUAUCAGCUUGUUGGUGGGGUGAUGGCCUACCAAGGCGGUGACGGGUAGCCGGCCUGAGAGGGUGGACGGUCACACUGGGACGGAGACACGGCCCAGACUCCUACGAGAGGCAGCAGUGGGGAAUAGUGCACAAUGGGCGCAAGCCUGAUGCAGCGACGCCGCGUGAGGGAUGGAGGCCUUCGGGUUGUGAACCUCUUUCGCCAGUGAAGCAGGCCUGCCUCGUUUGUGGGUGGGUUGACGGUAGCUGGAUAAGAAGCGCCGGCUAACUACGUG